This is a long non-coding RNA of Capsicum annuum, 2595 nucleotides long. RefSeq lists it as uncharacterized. NCBI's taxonomy places the organism in Eukaryota, Viridiplantae, Streptophyta, Magnoliopsida, Solanales, Solanaceae. The transcript has 2 exons. The record is from RefSeq and is a predicted model, not a curated record.
UCUUUUGACUCCUUUUUCUCCAUGUCCGUCUUCAUCUCUUUCUCCUCAUUGAAAAACAUAAAGAAAUGAGGAAACAUAAGCUCUCGCUAUUUUGUGUAUAUGUGUGCUACAUGUAAAAAAAAAAUUAUGCUACUCAAUUUGGUUUGAUUGCUCAUUUGAAUUUUUUUUUAACUCUUGAUUUUAAUGGAAGAAGAAGAUGCAAUUCAACUUUACAAUUUCUACAUAGAUUAGGUUUCUUCACAAGACCUAGAUCUGUAAAGAAGCAACUACAUAAUCAGGUAUCUUUUGACAAUCAUACAGGAUUCUCCUUUCAAAUGGUAAUUGCUCCACAUGUCGAAUUACACUGGGUUUAUUGUUGUUGUAGUAUGAUUUUGGGGAAUUGUGGAACAAAUGUUUUGGUUUGUAACUUAUUUCUUAAUGUUGUAGUAUGGUUCAUAGCUAAUUUGCAUCUUUCCUACUUUUUGUUAUUUGGGCUGUUCGAUUCCGCCAUAUAUAAUAUCAAUUACUCCAAUAAAAUUUCAUUAGGAAUGAGAGAAAUCUAACCUGAAUUGGGUCAAAAUAUUCUUUCUUUUUCACCUUGGUAUUGCAAGAUAAAUUUGUUUAACAAAGUUAAUAUUCUGUUUUAAUGAAUAUAGAUGCUUGAUUUUAACACUAAUUUGUUUGGGCGCUUCAGUUUUUUAGUAGUUCGCCGUGAAGAGACUACAAUGAGGUUACAAGAACAAAGGUGAUCAGUUUAUUAGUGUAAUGAUCGAUUAAAAUGGAUCUUUGCUAAGGCAUCGUGUUGAACAGGAGAGCCCGAAGCUGAAAGGGUCAAUUUUUUAAGCCAAAAUGCCAAAAGAGCUACUCCUUCCAAAAGAGCUACUCCUUUAUCAAAAAGACCAAAUUGGACAAAAUGCUCAAGGUUCAGCGAUUUAUCCUUUUCUUGCUAAUUAUCUCAUUGCAAGUUACCGACUGCGUAACAUCUUGUUAGUUGUUGGUCGCUCAACAACUUAUAAGUUACUGGCUGCACGGACGCUUGUAAGUUGUUGGCUGCUCAGCAACUUAUUAUUUAAAGGCUUCUAAUUAAUUUUUUCCUUUUGUCUUCUAUGGUCUUUCACACAUACUAUCAAGAGUUGUUUUCCUGCAACUUGUAAGGUCUAUAUAGAUUAUUAUGUGAAAUUUUCUCCACCGAUGAAAUUUGUAUCUUUUAUAUUUCUCUAUUUCUUUUGGAAUUAUUUUUGCAUGAGUUUACCUUGAAGUACAAUUUGGUUUCGCCAGAAGUGAAUUGAUUUCUUCAUUAUUUGUUUGUUUUGUGAGUAUUUUGUAUCAGUGUGCAGUUUCAAUGAAUGUGUGUGUUGGUGCUUUUAGUGAUCCUGAGGGGCUUGAAGGCCUUGCUCAUUUUCGUGGUAUGAUUCUUUGUUGCAUAAGUUUCCAUUUAUGGUUUCUUGUAAUUUGUUUAUCGUAUUGGUGUUGUUAUUAUUCCUUUUUUAGUAUACUUUGUCAUGCCCUGUUUAGCACUUUGUCUUGGUUUCCUCACCCUGUUGUUUCCUUGUGCUGAGCGUCUAUCAAAAACAACCUCUAGGUUCACUUCCCUUACAAGAUCCUGCAACUCUUAGGAAUUGCUUGAAAAUUAUAGGCAGAACAUGCAAUAGAAUGUCAAGAAGCAAACAGACAUAAUCAAUGUAUCACAAGAAACAGGUAUAAGCACUGAUAUGAACACUGAAGUUACAUCAACUCAACAGGAUCUUGAUUGCUUCUGGAAUUACUGAUACUCUUUGCCGAAAAGAGGGCAAAAUGACAAAAAACAAGACCAAGUAUAGGGAUAGAGCUUCAGUAGCAAUUAGCUAUCAUAUGGUGUGGAAUUAAAUUGUUAUAUGUAUACUAAUCCCCUAAGUUGCAUUCAACAAGAGUAACCAUAUAUGUCCCAAAAACUAUACUACUACCACAUUUUUUGGUAUUUUGAUUGUCAUUUUUACACUCUCACUUGUCUCAUUGCCUUUUUUAGUAAUUGUUAUUGAAUUUGUAAGAUUUUCCAGUAGUACUUGAACACUAUUAACAUGUGACUGUGUGAGAUUAGGAUGGUGGCUUACAUGAUCUUUUGUUGUGAACUUUAGGAAUAGUUCUGGCCCAUCUUCUCUACUAAAUCCAUGGGAUACAAACAUCCUGUUGCUUUUUCCUUUCAGGCGGCCCACUCACUCUGUUAUGAUCUUCCCAAAACUGGUUAAGAAAUUAAAAAAAACUGAUGUGUAAUUUCUUUAAGAAAUGAAUACGGAUUGAAAUAACAACAUUGUGAAGAAAUAUGUAUGUAUAUAUGCAUAUGGUUUUAGAAACCUGUGUUUUCGUAGUUAUAAAUUUUAUAAGUUGGAAGUCUUUAUUGGAUAUGUAUGUUGAAUAUGACAGGGGUAGCAGCUGAACUCUCUUAUAAGAAGGCUGUGAUUAUAAAGAUUUGCUCCAGUUUUGUUGUAUGAAGGAAUAUCAAGCUUCUUCUGCAUUAUUUUGCAUAAUGGAACACUUUUCUUCUUUUUAUCAUAUAAUCUUGUUCAUUUUAAUAUUCUUAAGGAUCUUAGAAAUGAAGUGAGAUUUAACUAAUAAAUAGGUUUUUCUUCUUACUCAUCA